ACUCAGAUAGCUUAGCAGGAAGAGCCUUUAGUGCGUAACCAAAAGAUCCGGGUUCAAUUCCCGGUCCAGGCU
Molecule: transfer RNA, 72 nt
Filed under: Cotesia glomerata
Lineage: Eukaryota; Metazoa; Arthropoda; Insecta; Hymenoptera; Braconidae
Description: tRNA-Thr
Rfam family: tRNA
About the family: Transfer RNA (tRNA) molecules are approximately 80 nucleotides in length. Their secondary structure includes four short double-helical elements and three loops (D, anti-codon, and T loops).
Source: RNAcentral